RNAcentral lists this long non-coding RNA (727 nucleotides) under Olea europaea subsp. europaea. The record is from RNAcentral. Lineage: Eukaryota; Viridiplantae; Streptophyta; Magnoliopsida; Lamiales; Oleaceae.
GUGAAAACCUUCAAUGUUGGCAACUUUCUCUGCAGGAUGCUGAUAAAAUUGUGCGUUCCAUCCAAGACUUGUUCACUUCCUGGGGACAAAUCAAGAUAUCUUACCAUGCUUCAGCCAGUCAUCCUUCUGCUUCUUCAGAGGAAGAUAUGAAGUUCCUCAAGCAGUCGAUAUUUGAGUAUGUGUCCUUCAUGGAUAUGGACAUCGAUAAGGCUAGUGCUGUCAAGCAUAAGGAUAAGCUUGAGCAUUUGAGUGCGAAGUUGGAGCAAGCACUAACACUUCCGUCGCUCAACCUUUCUGCUGAUUUUAAAGCAACGUUGAAAGUUGUCCAUUCCGAAAUUCUCUCAUUGUUGGCCAGAAAUGUUGAACUGGAGGCUAAGAGUACUCAAUAUCUUCACGCUGUAUCUGAAAGAGAGUCCUUGCUUUUGGAGAUCAACAAAGCUGAGAACGAAUUGAAAGAAAUCUCUUCCGAAAUCAUGAUUGAAGACUCUUUGAUGACAAGUUUGGCUGCACAGAUAAAGGAGCUUCAAGCCAAGAUGGACGACUGCAAGGCGAGAAUGGCUGCUAAAAAGCGUAAUGCCUCCCAAGGAAUUGAGCGAACCAAGUCUUUGGUUGAGCAGUACAAGAAGCUGAAAGUUGAUGAUGAUGUUGUGGCUGAAUUGAAUAUCACUUCUUUUCGGCAGAGCGAGGACUGGGGGAGACUUAGGGAAAGAAUUCGUUUGGUAUGGGG